Molecule: ribosomal RNA, 273 nt
Filed under: uncultured bacterium
Lineage: Bacteria
Description: partial 16S ribosomal RNA
Rfam family: Bacterial small subunit ribosomal RNA
Source: RNAcentral
GACGUAGGAGGCGAGCGUUGUCCGGAUUCAUUGGGCGUAAAGAGCGCGCAGGCGGCUCGGUCAGUCGGAUGUGAAAACCCGGGGCUCAACCCCGGGCAUGCACCCGAUACUGCCGGGCUAGAGGUAGGUAGGGGAGAUCGGAAUUCCUGGUGUAGCGGUGAAAUGCGCAGAUAUCAGGAGGAACACCGGUGGCGAAGGCGGAUCUCUGGGCCUUACCUGACGCUCAGGCGCGAAAGCUAGGGGAGCGAACAGGAUUAGAUACCCCCGUAGUCC